AUUUAUAGCCAUACCACCCUGAACCUGCCCGAUCAUACUUGAUCUCAGAAGCUAAGCAGGUUCAGGUCUGAUUAAUACAUGAUGCCCUUUGUGAUGCUAUUUGGC
RNAcentral lists this ribosomal RNA (105 nucleotides) under Carlito syrichta (Philippine tarsier). The record is from RNAcentral. Lineage: Eukaryota; Metazoa; Chordata; Mammalia; Primates; Tarsiidae.